RNAcentral lists this non-coding RNA (31 nucleotides) under Mus musculus (house mouse). Lineage: Eukaryota; Metazoa; Chordata; Mammalia; Rodentia; Muridae. RNAcentral also lists the same sequence under 1 other name. The record is from RNAcentral.
UAUUGAUGAAGACAGAUAUUCCUGGCUUAGU